RNAcentral lists this unclassified non-coding RNA (206 nucleotides) under Entoloma sericeum. Its description in RNAcentral is "partial internal transcribed spacer 2". The record is from RNAcentral. Lineage: Eukaryota; Fungi; Basidiomycota; Agaricomycetes; Agaricales; Entolomataceae.
AAUUCUCAACCUCUCUAGUUUUUUGAACUGGUUAGGCUUGGAUUUUGGAAGUUGCUGGCUCACUAUGAAUCAGCUCUUCUUAAAUAUAUUAGCGAAGAUCUUUGCUGCUCAUCAUUGGUAUGAUAAUUAUCUAUAUCAUUGAUAACCAGUGUCCCUCACGGGAGAGGUCUUGCUUCUAAUAGUCUUUUUAAAGACAAUCUGAUAAC